This is a long non-coding RNA of Panthera uncia (snow leopard), 1868 nucleotides long. RefSeq lists it as uncharacterized. NCBI's taxonomy places the organism in Eukaryota, Metazoa, Chordata, Mammalia, Carnivora, Felidae. The transcript has 3 exons. The record is from RefSeq and is a predicted model, not a curated record.
AUAGAGUAGCAGCUAAACAGCAGGACCACCACCCAACGGCGCUUGCUCACCUUGAUCACACUAAGGUCCUCGGGGCACGAGCUACUGGGGCUCCACGCCCAACAUGAAGCUCAAAUUCACCACGCUGAGGUCAGGAGUCACAUGCUCUACCACGGAGCCAGCCAGGCGCCUCUGGAGGCUACAUUUUAGAAGCUCUCCAGGUACGCUUUGAAGGGGAAGAAGAAAUACAUUUUAGACAUUGCUUCCUGGAAGGAAGGCCUGGCUCCUGGUUCUCUCCCAGCUUGAGGAAAUCUCUGGCCUUGAACUCUCUAGCUCUCCCGGCCCUCUGCAGAAUAGUAGCAAAGUCUGCCCCCUAGAGGCUGACAACUACUCCUGGCAAUAAAAAUGGUCCUUGAAGUCAAAUGUCCCACAGGUUCAGGAGGGGCUGUGGAUGCGCCAGGCGUGGUUUGUUGAGUGUAGGAAGGCUGAAAUUCUAGUGAAAUGAAUCAGAUUGAGACUCUGGAUUAGUCCCUCUUAAAAAAAUACCGACACUUGGGACGCCUGGGUGGCUCAGUCGGUUGAGCGUCCUUCUCUUGAUUUUGGCUCAGGUCAUGAUUUCGUGGUUUGUGAAAUCGAGUGUGGAUUGGGGCUCUGUCUGGGCUGACAGCACAGAUCUUGCCUGGGAUCUCUCCCUCUCUUUCUGUCCCACCCCCGCUCAUGCUCGUUCUCUCGCUCUCUCUCUCUCUCUCUCCCUCUCUCAAAAUGAAUGUGAAAAAGAGAAAAAUACCUACACUUGGAAUUUGUGAAAAUGUUGCUUUUAUAAAUCUUAUACGUGCAAUAAUGCAUCCCCAUCAAUGUCCUGUUUUACCUUAUCUCCCACACUCCCAUUCAUUCCCAGCUCCUUAAGAACGUGUGUAUAUCUUUGUGAGCCUUUAGUGGGAGAAUUUACACAGCACAUGCUCUCAAUACUUGUUGGUAGAAUAGAGCUGAAUUACACAUUACUAUGAAAUCUCAGAAAAGUGGGACAAAGAGAGCUCCAAGACGUUUUCAGAGAUUUAAAAAAAACAAACAGGUUUUAUACACUGUUUUCCAAAAAAGCAGAUAUAGAAUUCCCUCAGAGUUAUCAAGCCUGGAAACCAGAAGUCAGUGGAAUAAUGCCUUCUGAAGGAAAAUCGUUUCCUGCCUAGAAUUCUGUAUCCAAAACUACCAAAAGAAAACAAGUAUGAUAAGAGAACUGGGCAUUUCUCAGACAUGCAGAGUUUUCCUCUCUCUCAGGAAGCUGCUAAAGGAGGUGCUCCACCAAAAGAAGGGAGGGAGCCUGGAGAGUAAGAUGUCAGAUAAAAGAAAUGGGGACUCUUGGGGCGCCUGGGUGGCUCAGUCAGUCGAGAGCAUCUGACUUCGGCUCAGGUCAUGAUCUCACAGCUCGUGAGUUCCAGGCCCACGUCGGGCUCUGUGCUGACAGCUCAGAGCCUGGAGCCUGCUUUGGAUUCUGGGUCUCACUCUAUUUCUGCCCCUUCUCUGCUCAUGCUCUCUCUCCUUCAAAAAUGAAUAAACAUUAAAAGAAAGAAAGAAAAAAAAAAGAAAUGGGGACUCUAACACAAGAGGGAGACAAUAGGAAUCACCAAGAUCAUGAUAAAAGAAAACCCCAGGUGGACCGUCACGUGCCAGGCAUAGAAAGCACCUGUGCAGACUGAAGCUUGUCAAAAAACUCCAGGAAAUAUUUAUUCAAGAUGACACUGAUAGGAUCAUGUUUGAAACUAUUGAGCAGGGGUUUACACAAUCGGGGGUGAUUGGGGGGGACUAGAGAUGGGACUAGUGAUAAGUACCACAAAUAUAACUAGAGAAAUGGUGGGGGCAAUUAUUAAUUCCAGUGAAAUAUAAAAAGCUAU